UGCCGUAAAGGGAAACAAGGUUUGAAAGAGCAGCGCCGUAAGCGCGCUCGUCGGGGCCGUGAGCGCGCCCCGGGGCCGGCCGGUCAGAUCGGGAGCGCGCCCCAAGGCCCAGCCCUGUUUCCUUCUAGCGGGCGGGCGUAGAAGCUAGCGGCCAGCGCUGGUCGGUCUGGUAAGUGCCUGGUGCCGAGUUGCGUCUCUCGCGUCUUUUCCUGUUCCCAGGCAAAGCGGAGCGGAGAUCCUCAAACGUCCUAGUGCUUCGCGCCUCCGGUGAAAAUCAAAGGUCUAAUUAAUUCCUCUGGUUUGUUGAAGCAGUUACCAAGAAUCUUCACCCCCUUCCCACAAAGGCUACGGUUGAGUCCACGUUCCUGUUGACUUACAAAAGGUGCAGGUAUGAGCAGAUCUGAAGACUAACAUUUUGUGAAUUUGUAAAACAGAAAGCCUGUUUGAAAUGUGGUGGUUUCAGCAAGGCCUAAGUUUCCUUCCUUCAGCUCUUGUAAUUUGGACAUCUGCUGCUUUCAUAUUUUCAUACAUUACUGCAGUAACACUCCACCAUAUAGACCCGGCUUUACCUUAUAUCAGUGACACUGGUACACUGGCUCCAGAAAAAUGCUUAUUUGGGGCAAUGCUAAAUAUUGCGGCAGUUUUAUGCGUUGCUACCAUUUAUGUUCGUUAUAAACAAGUUCAUGCUCUGAGUCCUGAAGAGAACGUUAUCAUCAAAUUAAACAAGGCUGGCCUUGUACUUGGAAUACUGAGUUGUUUAGGACUUGCUGUUGUGGCAAACUUCCAGAAAACAGCCCUUUUUGCUGCACAUGUAAGUGGAGCUGUGCUUACCUUUGGUAUGGGCUCAUUAUAUAUGUUUGUUCAGACCAUCCUUUCCUACCAAAUGCAGCCCAAAAUCCAUGGCAAACAAGUCUUCUGGAUCAGACUAUUGUUGGUUAUCUGGUGUGGAUGCUGACUUGCUCAUCAAUUUUGCACAGUGGCAAUUUUGGGACUGAUUUAGAACAGAAACUCCAUUGGAGCCCCGAGGACAAAGGUUAUGUGCUUCACAUGAUCACUACCGCAGCAGAAUGGUCUAUGUCAUUUUCCUUCUUUGGUUUUUUCCUGACUUACAUUCGUGAUUUUCAGAAAAUUUCUUUACGGGUGGAAGCCAAUUUACAUGGAUUAAACCUCUAUGACACUGCACCUUGCCCUAUUAACGGUGAACGAACACGGCUACUUUCCAGAGAUAUUUGAUGAAAGGAUAAAAUAUUUCUGUAAUGAUUAUGAUUCUCAGGGAUUGGGGAAAGGUUCACAGAAGUUGCUUAUUCUGCUCUGAAAUUUUCAACCAGUUAAUCAAGGCUGACAGUAACAUUGAUGAAUACUGAUAAUCAGGAAACAUGAAAGAAGCCAUUCGAUAGAUUAUUUUAAAGGAUAUCAUCAAGAAGACUAUUAAAAACACCUAUGCCUAUACUUUUCUAUCCUAGAAAAUAAAGUCGAAAGACUAUGAUAUCAUAGUUUUUUAUACCUUAAGAGAAACAACCUGACGUGCACCAAUCAGUCUGCACAUCUAGCCCUUCACAUUUUAUAAAUUAUUGCAGAUCAUGUUUUGUUAGGAGCACUUUUAUGAGAGACAUUUUCCAUGACUGAAUAAUCAGCAUUGGUCAGUAAAUCCUUUAGAAAUGGGUUUUGAAAUGGGAGUUUUAUCAUAUUAAAUCAUUUCUUACAGUCUUAAAUUUUUUGUUAUUGUUCUGGAAUCUACCUGUAAAGGAAAGUAGACCUGGAUUCGUGUGAGCUCUUUCAUGGCUUAAGUUUUGCCCAAGAGAUUUUGUAGGUGAUGAUUUUUUUUUUUUUUUUUUUUCCUGGUCACAAUGCCAGAUACUAAGCUGAUUGGUCUGUCAUACACAUGCUUGCAGUAGUUUCAUGCAGUUUAGUCUCUGGUGUGAGACUGUAAUCACCAAUGAAGGAGAAAGGUACCUAUAGGUAAAUUUAGUCAUAUUUUAUAUGAAACAAGGGUUAGUAUUCAUAUAACAUUGAGAAGUUUGGGAAUAACAGCAGAUAUGAUUAAUAUCAAACAGAAGUCAUAACCGUAGUCAAGAGCUUCUUAGAUUUUUGUUUAUAGCAAGUUAUAAUUACAUGUAAAAGUAGUCUUGAACAGGUAAAUAUUGAGCCUUUUUAAUGGGAUGUAACCUUUGUAGAGCCCAAAUUCUAAAGAACAAAAUUGGCAAUCCAAUUAAACUACAUGCAAAAUAA
RNA transcript from Rhinopithecus roxellana (golden snub-nosed monkey), 2229 nucleotides. It is a transcript of the gene named DNA damage regulated autophagy modulator 2, with no coding region annotated. The transcript has 10 exons. NCBI's taxonomy places the organism in Eukaryota, Metazoa, Chordata, Mammalia, Primates, Cercopithecidae. The record is from RefSeq and is a predicted model, not a curated record.